GACGAACGCUGGCGGCGUGCCUAAUACAUGCAAGUCGAACGCUUCUUUCCUCCCGAGUGCUUGCACUCAAUUGGAAAGAGGAGUGGCGGACGGGUGAGUAACACGUGGGUAACCUACCCAUCAGAGGGGGAUAACACUUGGAAACAGGUGCUAAUACCGCAUAACAGUUUAUGCCGCAUGGCAUAAGAGUGAAAGGCGCUUUCGGGUGUCGCUGAUGGAUGGACCCGCGGUGCAUUAGCUAGUUGGUGAGGUAACGGCUCACCAAGGCCACGAUGCAUAGCCGACCUGAGAGGGUGAUCGGCCACACUGGGACUGAGACACGGCCCAGACUCCUACGGGAGGCAGCAGUAGGGAAUCUUCGGCAAUGGACGAAAGUCUGACCGAGCAACGCCGCGUGAGUGAAGAAGGUUUUCGGAUCGUAAAACUCUGUUGUUAGAGAAGAACAAGGACGUUAGUAACUGAACGUCCCCUGACGGUAUCUAACCAGAAAGCCACGGCUAACUACGUGCCAGCAGCCGCGGUAAUACGUAGGUGGCAAGCGUUGUCCGGAUUUAUUGGGCGUAAAGCGAGCGCAGGCGGUUUCUUAAGUCUGAUGUGAAAGCCCCCGGCUCAACCGGGGAGGGUCAUUGGAAACUGGGAGACUUGAGUGCAGAAGAGGAGAGUGGAAUUCCAUGUGUAGCGGUGAAAUGCGUAGAUAUAUGGAGGAACACCAGUGGCGAAGGCG
This 724-nucleotide ribosomal RNA is filed under the name uncultured Enterococcus sp. Its description in RNAcentral is "bacterial SSU rRNA". It matches the Rfam family "Bacterial small subunit ribosomal RNA", at positions 28 to 723 of the family's 1533-position model. The record is from RNAcentral. Lineage: Bacteria; Bacillati; Bacillota; Bacilli; Lactobacillales; Enterococcaceae.